GAUGAAGAACGCAGCGAAAUGCGAUACGUAAUGUGAAUUGCAAAUUCAGUGAAUCAUCGAGUCUUUGAACGCACAUUGCGCCCCAUGGUAUUCCGUGGGGCAUGCCUGUUCGAGCGUCAUUUACCCCCUCAAGCUCCGCUUGGUGUUGGGCGUCUGUCCCGCUUCGCGCGCGGACUCGCCCCAAAGGUAUUGGCAGCGGUCGUGCCAGCUUCUCGCGCAGCACAUUGCGCUUCUCGAGGCACCGGUGGGCCCGCGUCCAUCAAGCUCACCCCCCCAGUUUGACCUCGGAUCAGGUAGGGAUACCCGCUGAACUUAAGCAUAUCAAUAAGCGGAGGA
RNAcentral lists this unclassified non-coding RNA (336 nucleotides) under soil metagenome. Its description in RNAcentral is "partial contains 5.8S ribosomal RNA, internal transcribed spacer 2, and large subunit ribosomal RNA". The stretch from base 1 to 119 matches the Rfam family "5.8S ribosomal RNA", at positions 35 to 154 of the family's 154-position model. The record is from RNAcentral.